Molecule: long non-coding RNA, 584 nt
Organism: Fopius arisanus
Lineage: Eukaryota; Metazoa; Arthropoda; Insecta; Hymenoptera; Braconidae
Exons: 6
Source: RefSeq, a predicted model, not a curated record
AAAAAGGCCAACGGCACGUGGUGUUCCCAAGCGGUCACCCAUCCAAGUACUAACCACGCUCAACGUUGCUUAGCUUAAGUGAUCGGACGAGAACUUGCGUAUUCAACGUGAUAUGACUGUUGGCCAACGGCACGUGGUGUUCCCAAGCGGUCACCCAUCCAAGUACUAACCACGCUCAACGUUGCUUAGCUUAAGUGAUCGGACGAGAACUUGCGUAUUCAACGUGAUAUGACCGUUGGCCAACGGCACGUGGUGUUCCCAAGCGGUCACCCAUCCAAGUACUAACCACGCUCAACGUUGCUUAGCUUAAGUGAUCGGACGAGAACUUGCGUAUUCAACGUGAUAUGACUGUUGGCCAACGGCACGUGGUGUUCCCAAGCGGUCACCCAUCCAAGUACUAACCACGCUCAACGUUGCUUAGCUUAAGUGAUCGGACGAGAACUUGCGUAUUCAACGUGAUAUGACUGUUGGCCAACGGCACGUGGUGUUCCCAAGCGGUCACCCAUCCAAGUACUAACCACGCUCAACGUUGCUUAGCUUAAGUGAUCGGACGAGAACUUGCGUAUUCAACGUGAUAUGACUGU